UCGCCCAUUUCUUUGUCUCUUGUAGGAUUUUGCGGAGCCACUCGACAGAUGAGAAUCUCAUUUCGAGGCUCCUCAGAAGGCGAACUGCACCCCCUCCCUCAAGCCUCUUCUCCAGUCUCAUGGUUUUCAUGACCACUAGGGGAAGACGACGAAUUCCAAGGUGGAGAGGAAAGAGAAGAGAAGGAAAUAAUGAAAAUAGUAACACCUCCUUGCACUUUUAA
RNAcentral lists this long non-coding RNA (221 nucleotides) under Sus scrofa (pig). Its description in RNAcentral is "lncRNA (ENSSSCG00070005770.1)". Lineage: Eukaryota; Metazoa; Chordata; Mammalia; Artiodactyla; Suidae. The record is from RNAcentral.